GGGUAGUUGGCGGAGUGGUCAAUCGCAGCUGACUGUAAAUCAGCCGACUUCGGUCUUCGGGGGUUCGAAUCCCUCACUGCCCACCG
RNAcentral lists this transfer RNA (86 nucleotides) under Candidatus Moraniibacteriota bacterium. RNAcentral describes it as "tRNA-Tyr". It matches the Rfam family "tRNA". Rfam says of the family: Transfer RNA (tRNA) molecules are approximately 80 nucleotides in length. Their secondary structure includes four short double-helical elements and three loops (D, anti-codon, and T loops). Lineage: Bacteria; Candidatus Moraniibacteriota. The record is from RNAcentral.